Molecule: long non-coding RNA, 214 nt
Organism: Pieris napi
Lineage: Eukaryota; Metazoa; Arthropoda; Insecta; Lepidoptera; Pieridae
Exons: 2
Source: RefSeq, a predicted model, not a curated record
CACUCGGCUUUAGCAGUUGGCUCCCAAAAGCAUCAUGGCGCCUCAGGCAUAGCGCGAAAUUUCAAAUAAGGCUUUAGUUUGAGAAAUUUUGUUGGGUUUUCGUUAAGGUGCUACUUUUCUACAUUUUAUAUUACUAAAUGAAUAAUUUAACGGACAUGAAAAACUCCUAUACGUAUUUGGAAUCUCGUAUCCUCAAAUUUUCUGAGGAGCUACC